This 436-nucleotide ribosomal RNA is filed under the name uncultured Petrimonas sp. RNAcentral describes it as "bacterial SSU rRNA". It matches the Rfam family "Bacterial small subunit ribosomal RNA", at positions 355 to 788 of the family's 1533-position model. The record is from RNAcentral. Lineage: Bacteria; Pseudomonadati; Bacteroidota; Bacteroidia; Bacteroidales; Dysgonomonadaceae.
UGAGGAAUAUUGGUCAAUGGGCGCAGGCCUGAACCAGCCAAGUAGCGUGAAGGAUGAAGGCUCUAUGGGUCGUAAACUUCUUUUAUAUGGGAAUAAAGUUUUCCACGUGUGGAAUUUUGUAUGUACCAUAUGAAUAAGGAUCGGCUAACUCCGUGCCAGCAGCCGCGGUAAUACGGAGGAUCCGAGCGUUAUCCGGAUUUAUUGGGUUUAAAGGGAGCGUAGGUGGAUUGUUAAGUCAGUUGUGAAAGUUUGCGGCUCAACCGUAAAAUUGCAGUUGAAACUGGCAGUCUUGAGUACAGUAGAGGUGGGCGGAAUUCGUGGUGUAGCGGUGAAAUGCUUAGAUAUCACGAAGAACUCCGAUUGCGAAGGCAGCUCACUAGACUGUUACUGACACUGAUGCUCGAAAGUGUGGGUAUCAAACAGGAUUAGAUACCCU